RNAcentral lists this long non-coding RNA (4919 nucleotides) under Sus scrofa (pig). Its description in RNAcentral is "lncRNA (ENSSSCG00000053815.1)". The record is from RNAcentral. Lineage: Eukaryota; Metazoa; Chordata; Mammalia; Artiodactyla; Suidae.
AAUCAGAGGUGCAGCUGCCAGCCUAUACCAGAGCUACAGCAACACUGGAUCCAAGCUGCAUCUGCAAACUACACCACAGCUCACUGGCAACACUUGAUCCUUAAGCCGCUGAGUGAGAGGCUAGAAAUGGAACUCAAAUCCUAAUGGAUACUAGUGUUGGAUUCUUAAACUGCUGAGCCACAACGGGAAUUCCUGUCACUUCUUUUUUUUGUUGUUUUUUUUGUUUGUUUGUUUGUUUUUGUCUUUUUAAGGCUGCACUCAAGGCGUAUGGAGGUUCUCAGGCUAGGGGUGGAAUGGGAGCUGUAGCUGCUGGCCUAUGCCACAGCCACAGCAACGGCCCCAUCUGUGACCUACACCACAGCUCACGGCAACACCGGAUCCUUGACCCACCAAGCACAGCUAGGAGUUAAACCCUAGUCCUCAUGGAUACUAGUUGGGUUUGUUCCCACUGAGCCACAACAGGAACUCCAGUUUCUCUUUUCUAUGUGAAACACUGACUGACACAAUCCAAACAGUCUAAAAUUUUUUGUAAUAAAGUACUAGUAGAGAAUUCCCAUCUGUGCCUAUUUAUGGUAAUAUGAGAAUAAUCUUUUCCAAUAUAUCUGCCUACAUUUUAUCUAUCUGCUUAUGUACCUAUCACCUACAUAUCCAUAAAAAUGUUUUUGCAAAAUGGAACUAUGCUGCACAUGCUGGCCUGCAACUUGUAUUUUUCCCCUGAACCAUUUUCCUGAAUGAUAGAUGUGGAUAUAUCUCAGUAUUUUUUAAUAGCUACCCAGUGUUCUGUAGUAUGGUGGCAGCAUAUUAUUCAACCAAUUCAAAAAUUCCCUAUUGAUGAGCAUGUGCGUUUUUACAAAUGUUUGCUCUGAGAACUCUGUAAUGCAUAUAUCUUUUUACACAUUUUCUUAGGAGCUUUGAUUUUAUUCAUGUAGGAUAGAUUUCUAUGAGCAGAAUUACUGGGUGAAAGAAUACGAGCAUUUCAAAAUGUUAAUAGAUACUGUCAAAUUAAAUUCCAAUAAACUUCUACAAAUUUAUACUCCCAGCACAAAUGCGUGAAACUGCUUAUAUUUCCAUAACCUGCUAAUAACUGGACAUUAAUGACUUUUUUCCCAAUCUAAUCAUAUUUAAAAACUAGCAUUCUGGAGUUCCCGUCGUGGCACAGUGGUUAACGAAUCUGAUUAGGAACCAUGAGGUUGCAGGUUUGAUCUCUGGCCUUGCUCAGUGGGUUAAGGAUCCAGCGUUGCCCUGAGCUGUGGUGUAGGUCACAGACACAGCUUGGAUCCUGCAUUGCUGUGGCUCUGGCAUAGGCCAGCAGCUACAGCUUCAAUUAGACCCCUAGCCUGAGAACCUCCAUAUGCCACAGGAACUGCCCUAGAAAAGGCAAAAAACAAAAACAAAAAACUAGCAUACUAUCAUUGUCUUUAAAUUGCAUGUCUUGGAUUGCAUGUCAUUUCAGAUUUUUACUGGCCAUCUGCAGUUUCUGUGCUGUGAUCAUCCUUUCACAUGUACCCUUUGCCCAUUGAAUUAAUUUUUUAAAUCUCUUCAUAAGCGCUAUUACCCCUUUGUCACACACAUGCACAGAAAGAGGGAAGAGAUUAUUCUCCCAGUUUGUUGUUUGAUAUUUGUUGUUAUUUAUAUUGACUUUUGCUAUAGCAAGUUUUUUAUAUAGUCAUGCCUUUCCUUUGUUGCUGAGAAAAGUCUCCAUGACCUUGAUAUUUUACAAAUGGUUUCCUAAAUUUUUAAAUCCUUUUUGGUGUUUUGUUGUUUAUAUAGAAAGAUUUAACCCACCAAAUUUUUAAUUUUAUGUAUUGUUCAAAAUUAAGAUUUAGUUUUGCUUUAGUUCAAAUGCAUAGAAAAUAGUGCCAACACCAAUUAUUGUCUAAGCCAUCUUCUCUGUUGAGAUUUGGUUUUACUCCACCUAUAAUUGGAUCUGUCUCUGAGUUCCUUUUUUUUUUUUUUCCACUGUGCAGCAUGGGGACCAUGUUACACAUACGUGUAUACAUUCUCUUCCUCCCAUUGUUCUGUUGCGAUGUGAGUAUCUAGACAUAGUUCUCAAUGCCACACUGUCUCUGAGUUCUUAUUUGUGUUUCCCUGGUCUAGUGUCCACUUCCUAUCCAGAUGCCAUAUUAAUUUGAUUCUAUUGCUUUAUAGAUAGUAAGCUCUGGAAUCUAUUAAAAAACAAGUUCCCUUUAAUUUUUUUUUUUUUGGAAAAAUUUCUCGCUGGGUGUAACAUAUUAUUCUUCAAGGUCAAUUUCUGAUUUAUUUUCUUUUAUUAAAAUAAGCUGGAAAUUUUAUUCAAAUUAAGUUACAUUUAUAUAUUAAUUUAAGAAUGACUGAUAUCCUUGGAAUGAUUGGGAUUUUAUAAUAUAUAGUCUCCCCAGCCAGGAAUAUGACAUCUUUCCAAUUUAUUCAUAUCUUAUCCUUCAAUAACACUCCUCUUUCCUUCAUAUAGAUCUUAUGACUUCCAUUAAAUUUCUUCCUUAAGAGAUUGACAGUUCUGCAGAAUAUGACAAACUAGCAUGAACUCAUAGCUCCCUCCCUUGAACUCUGGAGAAGCCACAAAGUGACAGGGAGUUUGCUGGAUCCUAAUAUGAAGGGAAUGAGAGAAAUGGUUGGGAAAAUGAGUGCUUGAGCCCCUGUGUGAAAGGAAAGAAGGUUCUGGCAAAAGGAAGCUAUGCCCUAUGACUGGGAAAGUGAUGGGAAGCAGUUUCCUAAUUGGGCCUUUUAGUCUCUUGCCCACACUGUCGUGGGAGGAUUGCUGCCCAUCCCUUCACUUUGGUUUGGUGAGAAGGCAGCAUCACCAGCACAGUUCUAGCUCCAGCCCUAAGUGGCAGACUCACAGUGGGGUGACUCUACCUGAGUGAAGAGUUGAUAACAAGAAGUGCACACAGAAAAAAAAAGGGGGGGGGUGGUUUCCUGCUGUGGCUCAGCAGUAAAGAACUCAACUAGUAUCCAUGAGGACUCGGGUUCAAUCCCUGGCCUUGCUCACUGUGUUAAGGAUCCAGCAUUGCUCUGAGCUGGGGUGUAGGUCACAGACAUGGCUCGGAUGCCCCGUUACUGUGGCUGUGGUGUAGGCUAGCAGCUACAGCUCCGAUUCUACCCCUAGCCUGGGAACUUCCGUAUGCCACAGGUGUGGGCCCUAAAAAGACCACUGAGCAUUCCCUCCCAUACCUUCCCUCUCUCCCUCACCCAGUGGAAGAAUCAGUCACAGUAGAGGAAGACAGCCUCUGGAAAACAGGGCAGAGAUAUGAAGUGGGUAGGGGAUACUGAAGAACAAGAUCACUUGAUGGGUGGAAUGAAGUAAAUGGGAAUGGUUGAGACCAUAUUAAAAUAGUGGAAGCUCUCUACUCUGGGAUGUACCCCAUUCCCACUCUCAAACUCACCAACAGGAGAACAAGCCAGGGCAGAAGAUCUUAUCCCUGCAUCAAAGUACAUGUUACCUGUCAAGGUAGCUGAUAGUUCCAAAAGGCUGUGAUCUUGCACAGAAAAAUGUUAGCAUAAUAGGUCUGAGACUGUUAUACUCGGAAAGGCCUGCUUACAAGGCUGGACUUUCGCUUUUGCCAUAAGAAGACACAAGGGUAUUUUUUUGAAAACACACAUGCACGCAGAGCAAACACCAUACUUAAUCACAAAUCAUUGAAAACAUUCCCCUUGAGAUUAGGAAUAAGAAACUGACAGUGACAAUUACCAUUUUCACUCAAGUGAAAGUGCUACAUAGUAAAAUGAAACCAAAAAUAAAAUAUGAAUCCAUACUGAUAUGAAUAAAAGAAUGAAUUAAUGACGAGAAGAGAGAUUUUUUUCCUUUACAGUAGAAUAUCAUUAAUAAACUAGAAGGAAUGAUGGAAUUAGAAAAUCACCAUUUGACAAACUAUCACAGUAAUAAUUCAUCUAAGAAACAUUGAAGGAUGCUAAAACUAGUGAGUGAAAGUUUGAUGGGGAAUGGUAUAUUUACAUAGUCUGAAAGUAUUUUUUCACAACAUAUUUAUUCAUUGCGAAGAGGAAAACAGUAAUUUUAAAUGGAGAAAACCAAAUGAAACCACUUUAAUCAAAUGAUCAAGUAACAGGACAAAUCAAAAUGUGUUCCUCUUGUUGGAAUUCAGUGAGAAGUAUACAACCUCAAUUUUGUGAUAUUUCUGCCAAAAAUUUAUAACCUGACUCCAACCAUUAGAAAAUACCAGGUGUGAGACUUUCCUGGUGGUCUAGUGGUUAGGGUUCAGCACCUUCACCACUGUGGUCCGGGUUCAAUCCCUGAUCUGGGAUCUGAGAUCCCACAUCAAGCCACUGUGCACCCAGCCAAAAAGAAAAAAAGAAAAAAGAAAAUAUCAGGUAAACCCAAGUUGAGAAAUACUCUGGCCUAUAGCCUUCAAGUGUUAAGGUUAUGAAAGUUAAAAAAAAGGACAAGAAAGAAUAGGAAGUGCUGCAGUUAUUGAAGGAGACUAAAGAGACAAAGAAACAAAUGCAACCCCAUCCUCCACUGGACCAGUUCGCUAUUGUGAACAAAAAAAGAACAAAGAGAGUCAUUCAUCAUCCAGGUAUAUAAAGGGCUAAGUCGCAAUUCACUGUGGAUGCCCACAGACAGUGUGCCCUGAAGGCAAUUUAGGAUGGAAAAAAACAGGAUGAGGAUCUCUAUGCUUUGGAUAAACAGACCCUUAGAUAGUGAGAAGUACCUCUCAGGAAGAAUUUCAGGAGUUUCUGCUGUGGAGCAGUGGAAAUGAAUCCAAUUAGUAUCCAUGACGGUGUGGGUUCAAUCCCUGGCCUCGAUCAGUGGGUCGGAGAUCUGGUGUAGCCGUGAGCUGUGGUAUAGGUCACAGACACAGCUCAGGUCUGGCGUUGCUGUGGCUGUGGUGUAGACCGGGAGCUGUAACUCCGAUUCGACCCCUAGCCUGGGAACUUCCAUAUGCUGCAGGGGUGGCUCUAAAAAG